Molecule: non-coding RNA, 82 nt
Organism: Nematostella vectensis (starlet sea anemone)
Lineage: Eukaryota; Metazoa; Cnidaria; Anthozoa; Actiniaria; Edwardsiidae
Source: Rfam
GUUGCGGUGGCCGAGUGGUUAAGGCGUUGGACUUGAAAUCCAAUGGGAUCUUCCCGCGCAGGCCCGAAUCCUGCCCGCAACG